This 373-nucleotide ribosomal RNA is filed under the name uncultured bacterium. RNAcentral's name for it is "bacterial SSU rRNA". It matches the Rfam family "Bacterial small subunit ribosomal RNA", at positions 518 to 889 of the family's 1533-position model. The record is from RNAcentral.
CGGUAAUACGUAGGGUGCGAGCGUUAAUCGGAAUUACUGGGCGUAAAGCGUGCGCAGGCGGUUUUUUAAGAUAGGCGUGAAAUCCCCGGGCUUAACCUGGGAACUGCGCUUAUGACUGGAAGACUAGAGUACGGCAGAGGGGGGUGGAAUUCCACGUGUAGCAGUGAAAUGCGUAGAGAUGUGGAGGAACACCGAUGGCGAAGGCAGCCCCCUGGGCCGAUACUGACGCUCAUGCACGAAAGCGUGGGGAGCAAACAGGAUUAGAUACCCUGGUAGUCCACGCCCUAAACGAUGUCAACUAGGUGUUGGGUGGGUAAAACCAUUUAGUACCGUAGCUAACGCGUGAAGUUGACCGCCUGGGGAGUACGGCCGC